AUGGCCCGGUCGACGUUUACCUCGGCUAGGCUCCUCGCGGAGCGGCGACAUCCUUCGUCCCGGCUGCUCCCAGCGCUGCACCCCGAGGCGGCCGUGGACCACGGCCCCGGCGUGGCGGAGGAUGCACUCCGGGCCUGCAUCUUUUUCGAUGAGGCGGCCAGGCGCGUAACGCACAGCGGCGGCAGCGGCCAAUGGCCGGUGCCCGGCAUGGCAACGCCCGGCAGCAAACACGGUGUCUCGUGGCUCCGCGGCGGCGGCCAUCGGCCUGCGUGCGGCAGCGCGGUCCUCAGCCCGGGCAGAGGCAGCCCACGAGGCGCAAAACGCGGCGGCGCAACCAUCGGUCUGCCCGCACUGCACAGCGGCAGCAGUUACCAUGGCCACGACGCUCGCACGGGAUAA
This 399-nucleotide ribosomal RNA is filed under the name Triticum aestivum (bread wheat). RNAcentral describes it as "partial small subunit ribosomal RNA". Lineage: Eukaryota; Viridiplantae; Streptophyta; Magnoliopsida; Poales; Poaceae. The record is from RNAcentral.